AGAAGUAUUGAAAAGAUAAUGAUUGGUGAGUGGAGGAGAGAGAUGAGAUGAGAUGAGAAGGAAGAGGGGGACCAUGGAACAGCACGCGCCUUGGAAUUGAAUAGGUGAUGAUGUGGACAAUUCAAUGGGGACCACUUUUCAUUUUGACUUCACUCAUACAUACCCGCCGCCUCAAUCAAUCUGUGGUCCCUCUUUCACAUACUGUGGGUCCCACUUUCUCGCUAAAUUGUUCCGUCUUCACGCCAUUUUGUCCUCCUCUUCUAACAUCAAAUCAAAUCUUCUGCUCCCUCUUUC
This 294-nucleotide long non-coding RNA is filed under the name Vigna radiata. RNAcentral's name for it is "long non-coding RNA (VRAD_LNC003825)". Lineage: Eukaryota; Viridiplantae; Streptophyta; Magnoliopsida; Fabales; Fabaceae. The record is from RNAcentral.